Coturnix japonica (Japanese quail) is the source of this 435-nucleotide long non-coding RNA. RefSeq lists it as uncharacterized. The record is from RefSeq and is a predicted model, not a curated record. Lineage: Eukaryota; Metazoa; Chordata; Aves; Galliformes; Phasianidae.
CAAAGAUGACAAAUAACUUUUCUCCAUGUUCCAGUUCUGCACAUCAUCUGAGUGUCCUUUGGCAGCAACAGUUGGCCCAAGCCUUGCAGCAGCAGCUGGUAUAUUUUCCAGGAGAGAAUAGGAAGAAAAAGGAGCUGCAGCCAUGCAUUUGCUUUUAAGAAGCACAGGAGGCACUGUGAUACCAAACCUUCCUUGGCUCGACUUUGGCAUAUGGCCACCAACAGAUGAAGAUCUUGUACAAAAAAAUCUCAUCUUCUUUCAAAUAGCAAGAUUUUCUCUACUGAAUGCAUUUAUGUGGGCCUGCAGGUGGGCAUGAGCUGGUCUUCCUCCACUGGGUACCAAGGAAGGAGAGACUGCAUCUCCAGGCAAGAGCUGCAUUUAUAUAUUUAUUUAGAAGCAACUCUGAGCAACAGCACAUUUAAGAGUUUGGCUCAU